Molecule: ribosomal RNA, 468 nt
Filed under: uncultured bacterium
Lineage: Bacteria
Description: partial 16S ribosomal RNA
Rfam family: Bacterial small subunit ribosomal RNA
Source: RNAcentral
GACGAACGCUGGCGGCGGGCUUAACACAUGCAAGUCGAACGGAAAGGCCCUGCUUUUGUGGGGUGCUCGAGUGGCGAACGGGUGAGUAACACGUGUGUAACCUGCCCUUGACUUUGGGAUAACUUCAGGAAACUGGGGCUAAUACCGUAUAGGAGCUCCUGCUGCAUGGUGGGGGUUGGAAAGUUUCGGCGGUUGGGGAUGGACUCGCGGCUUAUCAGCUUGUUGGUGGGGUAGUGGCUUACCAAGGCUUUGGCGGGUAGCCGGCCUGAGAGGGUGACCGGCCACCUUGGGACUGCGAUACGGACCAGACUCCUACGGGAGGCAGCAGUGGGGAAUAUUGCCCAAUGGGCGGAAGCCUGAUGCAGCAACGCCGCGUGCGGGAUGACGGCCUUCGGGUUGUAAACCGCUUUCGCCUGUGACGACGCGUGAGUGACGGUACUGGGUAAAGAAGCACCGGCUAACUACGUG